UACGUAGGGGGCAAGCGUUGUCCGGAAUCAUUGGGCGUAAAGCGCGUGUAGGCGGCCCGAUAAGUCCGCUGUGAAAGUCCAGGGCUCAACCCUGGGAUGCCGGUGGAUACUGUCGGGCUCGAGUCCGGAAGAGGCGAGUGGAAUUCCUGGUGUAGCGGUGAAAUGCGCAGAUAUCAGGAGGAACACCAAUGGCGAAGGCAGCUCGCUGGGACGUGACUGACGCUGAGACGCGA
This 233-nucleotide ribosomal RNA is filed under the name uncultured bacterium. RNAcentral's name for it is "partial 16S ribosomal RNA". It matches the Rfam family "Bacterial small subunit ribosomal RNA", at positions 524 to 756 of the family's 1533-position model. The record is from RNAcentral.